AUACGUAGGGGGCAAGCGUUAUCCGGAUUUACUGGGUGUAAAGGGAGCGUAGACGGUAAAGCAAGUCUGAAGUGAAAGCUCGGGGCUCAACCCCGGAACUGCUUUGGAAACUGUUUUACUGGAGUGCAGGAGAGGUAAGCGGCAUUCCUAGUGUAGCGGUGAAAUGCGUAGAUAUUAGGAGGAACACCAGAGGCGAAGGCGGCUUACUGGACUGUAACUGACGUUGAGGCUCGAAGGCGUGGGGAGCAAACAGGAUUAGAUACCUGGUAGUCCACGCGGUAAACGAUGAUCACUAGGUGUCGGCGGCCAUAGGCGGUCGGUGCCGCAGCCAACGCAAUAAGUGAUCCACCUGGGGAGUACGGUCGCAAGAAUGAAACUUAAAGGAAUUGGCGGGG
Molecule: ribosomal RNA, 395 nt
Filed under: uncultured bacterium
Lineage: Bacteria
Description: partial 16S ribosomal RNA
Rfam family: Bacterial small subunit ribosomal RNA
Source: RNAcentral